CAGCAGCAGGCAGCCCCACUCGAAUCCUCCCCAGAUUUUCCCCUCCUCCUCUCGCAAUCUUGUGACACGCGCGUGGGCGCGUGACUACAGAGAGGCAUGGGACACGUGUAUGAUGCUUCCUUCGAAUGACCUAUAAACCACGGUGCUAUUGGCUUUAAGCAGGAAGUAAAAGAACAUGGAGGUGAGGAGAAGGGGCAUUACAGAAUUUUCGACUUCUCAGAUUACCCUACUUUGGAUACAUUAUAUGAAAAGGGAAAUUUUCUCUGGAAAAGAAUCUAAUCCUGGGAAAGGUGGAAGGAAAGAUGAUUAGCAGCAAGGUGGAUGGACUAAUUUGCAGUGGUGAUGAGUGUACCAUUGGAAAAUCUGAAAAACCAAGUUAGGAUUGUCUGCCUUACCAGGUUUGUUGCUGUUAUGUAGCGGUUCAGAGGUUUCUUACUCUUUGGGAUCCAAUAGAUAUAGGAUUUUUCUGCCAGUAACUGAUUUUCAGAGUUCUUGUGUAAUUCAAGAAAAUAUUAACCACCUUGUCUUCUGUUGACCUUUUUUUCUAUUGCCUUUGAUUUUUCAAAGUACCAGAGUCUUCUCUGAUGACUCUUGCCUUCUCAUUAUACAUCCAGAAUUCUUAAGCUUUAGUUUCAUUGGAGAAUUCUGGUUUUACUUCAACUCCUAUACUAUUGAAUGACAUGUUCUUCAAUAUAUUCUCAAUCAUUUUUUUCUAGCAUCACCGUUCUAAGAUUUUCUCUUACAAGCCAAAAAUAAAUCAUAAUGUUGACAGCAUAUGCCUUUGUUGUCAGUGUGAUGACUACAUAUUUGUCUAGACUUGUCCUAGUCUUUCUCCAAAUAGCAGACGUUUCUUCACUUCAUGGCUACAGUCCAUAUACCACUGGAUGUUUGAAUCUUGGAAAAUAAAAGCUCUAUCUUCUUCCAUGCUUAUUUGCAUUGGGUUGGCAUUCAUUGAUAUAAUAAUCAAAUAUAGACCUGCCUUUGAUUAAUUUCAGAUUCCCAGAUUAUUCUCAGUCUAUGCUUUCCUAACAAUAUACUAACCUGUACUCUCACAGACUUUUCCCCAUUAUGUAUUAAAAUCAGAAAUAAGUAGCUAAAUAAGUUAAAUUGACUUUAUUGAUUGUAAUUUAGAAUUCUCUAUGUGUGAUCGUUGUUUAUUUUGGUUUUCUCUUUUUCCCAAAUAAUGAAAUUUCUCCUUUCCACAAAUAAUCUUCUUUAUACCUCUGAAAUUUUAACUUUGUUGUUUAAAGAAUGAUGUUUUAACUGAAGCCUUAAUCACAGGAAAAAUUACUUGACAUCAUAAAAAAAGAACAAAAUCUUAAGAAUGACAAGAUUUUUUUUUUUAUAAAGAUAAGAACAGUCACAUUUCUAUUUUCUUCCUAUUAAUAUCCGGUCCUCUACUAGAGGCCUGGGAGUUUGAGGGUUCUGUACAGUAUCUUAACUGUUCCUAACACUGUAGUUUUCUGGACAGGGAGCUCUGACGUUGCUCCUAUGAUGGGUUGGGGCCACUCUGCCAGCUUAGGAGUCACAGUCACCAAUGCUCCUAUCUCCACUGAGACAACUUUGGCUUCUACUUUCCACAUCCUCCUUCAGGCCCUGGUACUUCUC
Molecule: long non-coding RNA, 1608 nt
Organism: Crotalus tigris (Tiger rattlesnake)
Lineage: Eukaryota; Metazoa; Chordata; Lepidosauria; Squamata; Viperidae
Exons: 4
Source: RefSeq, a predicted model, not a curated record